AUGGAGAGCCACCGCACGGAAACUGAAAUAAAGCUGGCAUCUGGAAAAUCCUCAGAGAAUCCCUAUGCAAUGGACCCUUUUCUGUUCCUGAUGCGACCUUUCUGCCUCAAGAUGAGUCUUUUUCCCUGGCAUCCAACCCAUGUUAUAAUGGAGACCAGCGUCCCAGCAUCUUGCCUUAUGCACAGCAAUAAUAAAUUGAAGUGUGCCAGCUCAAUAGUGAGCAUUGGGAGUUCUGUUCAAGUGGAAAUCAGAGAAGACCUGUCCAUCACUGCUCAAAGAUAGAGGAGGUAGGCCCAACUAGUGUUCACUUCGUGGUUGGAACCCUUCUCUUUGUUUUUUUCGUAACUUUUUAAAUGUUUAUUUAUUUUUGAGAGAGAGAGAGAGUCAGAGCAUGAGCAAGGGAGAGACAGAGAGAGAGGGAGUCACAGAAUCCGAAGCAGGCUCCGGGCUCUGAGCUGUCAGCACAGAGACGGACGUGGGGCUCGAACUUGGGAAUGGCGAGAUCAUAACCUGAGCCAAAGUCAGACCCUUAACCGACUGAGCCACCCCGGCGCCCCGGAACCCUUCUCUUUAGUGGGAGCUUUAUGCCAGUUUAAACUUUUGAAGAUAAAUAUUAAUCCAUGAUAGAAUCUUUUCUCCAUCACACAAGAUUUGCCAGUUGCAUAUUCCUUUAUACAUUCUUCACGGAUAAAGAAAGACUUCAAAAAUGGAUCUUGUAAGUAGCUUAAGAAAAUAAUCCCAACAUUAGAAAAUCGGUAUGCAGGGAAAUCUAUAAUGGGAAAAAUUUGGCAAACAAGCUAAAUGUCCCCAGAUAGAAGAAUGGUCUAGCAAAUUACAGUAUAGCCAUUUGAAAGAAUAUUUUGAAGCCAAUUGAAAUGUUGAUUAUGAGGGAUAGCGACAGAGAGAAUGCAUAUCACAUAACAUUUUUAAAGAACAAUAUAUAAUCAACACCAGAACGGUAGGCCACUUCCUACCCCGAGAAUGACUACAAUGGAAAAGACUGACAGGGAGGGAAAUAGGCACAGCCACUUUAGAAAGCAUUUGGGCAGGUCCUCAAAAGGUUAAACACGGACUUACCACUGACCCAGCAAUUCCACUCCCAGGCUUAUACCUGAGGGAAUUCAAACCAGUCCUUCAAAUACUUGUAUGUGAAUGUUCUUAACAGCACUGUUCACAAUAGCCAAAGGGCGGUGACCACCCAAACGUGCUUCCUUGAUGACCCGCUGAACAAAAGGAGGCAUACCCACGGUUGGGCCUGCAAUGGGAUGUGGUUAGGCCAUAAAAAGGACUGAAGUACUUCUAGCAACCACAGUGUGGAUAAGCCUUGAAAUCAUUAGGCAAAAUGAAAGAAGCCAGUCACAAAAGACCACACGUUGAGUCAAUCCGUGUAUAUGAAAUGUCCAGGAUGGGCACAUCUGGAAGACAUAGAAAAUCUCUAGGGCUAGGAGGAUUGGGCAUGACUGCCAAUGGGAAAGGGGGGUUCUUUGGGGAUGAUGGAAAUGCUUUAAAAUAUAUUGUGCUGGGGGCACCUGGGUGGCUCAGUUGGUUAAGCGUCUGACUCUUGACUUUGGCUCAGGUCAUGAUCCCAUGGGUCGUGGGAUCGAGCCCCACGUCGGGCUCUGCACUGACAGUGCUGAGCCCUGCUUGGAUUCUCUCUCUCCUCUCUGCACCUCCCCUGCUCACUCAUACUCGCUCGUUCUCUCUCUCUCUCUCUCUCUCCCUCAAAAUAAGUAAAUAAACUUAAAAAAAAACUUUAAAAAAUUUAUUGU
RNAcentral lists this long non-coding RNA (1769 nucleotides) under Felis catus (domestic cat). Its description in RNAcentral is "lncRNA (ENSFCAG00000044775.2)". The record is from RNAcentral. Lineage: Eukaryota; Metazoa; Chordata; Mammalia; Carnivora; Felidae.